ACGGGUGCGUAACGCGUGGGAAUCUGCCCUUGGGUUCGGAAUAACAGUUAGAAAUGACUGCUAAUACCGGAUGAUGUCUUCGGACCAAAGAUUUAUCGCCCAAGGAUGAGCCCGCGUAAGAUUAGCUAGUUGGUGGGGUAAUGGCCCACCAAGGCGACGAUCUUUAGCUGGUCUGAGAGGAUGAUCAGCCACACUGGGACUGAGACACGGCCCAGACUCCUACGGGAGGCAGCAGUGGGGAAUAUUGGACAAUGGGCGAAAGCCUGAUCCAGCAAUGCCGCGUGAGUGAUGAAGGCCUUAGGGUUGUAAAGCUCUUUUACCAGGGAUGAUAAUGACAGUACCUGGAGAAUAAGCUCCGGCUAACUCCGUGCCAGCAGCCGCGGUAAUACGGAGGGAGCUAGCGUUGUUCGGAAUUACUGGGCGUAAAGCGUGCGUAGGCGGUUAUUCAAGUCAGAGGUGAAAGCCCGGGGCUCAACCCCGGAACGGCCUUUGAAACUAGAUAGCUAGAGUCUUGGAGAGGUUAGUAGAAUUCCGAGUGUAGAGGUGAAAUUCGUAGA
RNAcentral lists this ribosomal RNA (557 nucleotides) under uncultured Novosphingobium sp. Its description in RNAcentral is "bacterial SSU rRNA". It matches the Rfam family "Bacterial small subunit ribosomal RNA", at positions 102 to 694 of the family's 1533-position model. Lineage: Bacteria; Pseudomonadati; Pseudomonadota; Alphaproteobacteria; Sphingomonadales; Sphingomonadaceae. The record is from RNAcentral.